UAUCUCUGUAGAGUCUGCAUAUCAAUAAGCGGAGGAAAAGAAACUAACUAGGAUUCCCUUAGUAACGGCGAGUGAAGCGGGAAGAGCUCAAAUUUGAAAUCUUCAAGGUUUUACCUUGACGAAUUGUAGUUUAAAGAAGUGUUUUCUGUUGGUGUUUUGGUAAAAGUUCUUUGGAAUAGGACAUCAUAGAGGGUGAGAAUCCCGUAUUUGACCAUUACUUCCAGCGUUGUGAUACACUUUCAAAGAGUCGGAUUGUUUGGGAAUGCAGUCCAAAAUGGGUGGUAAAUUUCAUCUAAAGCUAAAUAUUGGCGAGAGACCGAUAGCGAACAAGUACCGUGAGGGAAAGAUGAAAAGAACUUUGAAAAGAGAGUUAAACAGUACGUGAAAUUGUCAAAAGGGAAGCGUUUGACACCAGUGUUGUUUUCUCGAAAAUCAAUUAAAAAAGGCAGGAUUUUGUGUUGUAUUGACUUUAUCAGCUUUCUGCACUCUUUUCUUGUCUUUUUUAAUGCACUUUUCGUUUAACAAGUCAACAUCAAUUUCUUUUGUUGUAAAAGGGUCAUUGGAAGGUGGCCUUCUUUUCGGAGAAAGUGUUUAUAGCCUUUGGCCUCUGCAAUCGGAGAGAUCGAGGUCUGCAGCGUAGAUCCUUCGGGGUUAGAUACAUUUGUGCUAAGUUAUAGCCUUUCAUAGACAACUUGUUGACUAUGAUCAGUCAUGUAGCUUACUCGCUUAUGCUAUUUUACCUACGCUUAGGAUGUUGAUAGUCACAGCGUGUAC
RNAcentral lists this ribosomal RNA (774 nucleotides) under uncultured Neocallimastigales. Its description in RNAcentral is "partial large subunit ribosomal RNA". It matches the Rfam family "Eukaryotic large subunit ribosomal RNA", at positions 24 to 627 of the family's 3401-position model. The record is from RNAcentral. Lineage: Eukaryota; Fungi; Neocallimastigomycota; Neocallimastigomycetes; Neocallimastigales.